This 870-nucleotide long non-coding RNA is filed under the name Rattus norvegicus (Norway rat). RNAcentral's name for it is "long non-coding RNA NONRATT016501". Lineage: Eukaryota; Metazoa; Chordata; Mammalia; Rodentia; Muridae. The record is from RNAcentral.
GCAAAGUCCCUGCCCCCAAGGAACGUACAGUCUAGCAUGAAAAAAAAUGAGAUUCCACCAAAGCACUAGAAGAGGUUAAGAAAGAGCGUGCCUGGUAAGCACUUUGCAGAAAUGGUUAACUUAGUCUAGGGGGUCAGGGCAACUUCCCAGAGUUAAGCGUGGAUACCUCUCAUUGUGCGAGCUCGGCCCCUCUUGGUGGUUCGAGUGUCUCCUUCUUGGUGAGCUUCACUUGCUGCCUCAUCUGCCAUUUUAUAGCUCUUGGUUACUUGUUUCCUGACAGUUGAGGUUUUACUACUGGAAGAAAACUCAGGUACAUGGGAGCUAGGGUUCUCGAUGUCUGUGAAGAUGUCAGAAUCAGAGGUCUUACUGCCAAAUUCUUUGAAGUUACUUGUGAGUGAACCAAAGCGGCUGUCAUAAAAGGAACCAAGUUCAGGAUGCAUUCGGGAAAGUUCGUCAAGUCUGCCACUAAAACUGUGGGUCAGGCCUAAGUCCAUGCCAUCACCGCAGUCAGAACCAUCAUCCGAAGUGACCACUUCUUUGACCACUUCCCGGUGACCAUCAUUACCCAAAACAGUCUUAGUAAUGGUUUUAGAGCAUGAACGACGUGUGGUGCUUGUGCCAGUAGAGGUAACUUUCUCGUUUCCAAUGAGGAGCUCUUUAUCUCCUUUAGAAGUGACCAGUUUUCCUGUGUGAUACUCUUUUCUUGUCGCUGGGCUGCUACUCCCUCCAAACUCUGAAAACUCACCCCAGUCAGGGUUGCUAGGCUUAAGGUUCCCAGAGCCUGAGCUAGGUCUGGAGCUUCCUGCACCCCAGGUUCCAGUGUCAUCAGACCCCGUUGUCCCAGAGCCCCAAUUUCCAUCACUUCCAGAU